CCUGGUAGCCAUAGCGGAGAGGACACACCCGAUUCCAUUCCGAACUCGGCCGUUAAGCUCUCCAGCGCCAAUGAUACUCCGGUUUUAACCGUGGGAAAGUAGGUCGCUGCCAGGA
Desulfohalobium retbaense DSM 5692 is the source of this 115-nucleotide ribosomal RNA. The record is from Rfam. NCBI's taxonomy places the organism in Bacteria, Pseudomonadati, Thermodesulfobacteriota, Desulfovibrionia, Desulfovibrionales, Desulfohalobiaceae.